This 16014-nucleotide long non-coding RNA is filed under the name Triticum aestivum (bread wheat). RNAcentral describes it as "long non-coding RNA (TAES_LNC007920)". The record is from RNAcentral. Lineage: Eukaryota; Viridiplantae; Streptophyta; Magnoliopsida; Poales; Poaceae.
UAGGGGGCAACCCCUUUAUUUUAUUUAUUUCCAAAGGACAACAUGAGCACGGCCACAACAACCAGUCUGAUUAAACACAAGAUAAUGCGCUGCCGAAUUAAGACCAAGAAUUUACAAAUAUUUCUUAAUUUAAAUACCCACUAAACAGACUACUGGUGAACAAUCUCCAUGACAGUUUUAUCUUUGGAAGAUUCCAAAUUCAGUUGCAAAGGAACACAUGCAUUGUAGUUACAUAUCACUCAUUCUGAACAGGCCUGAAUCCGGGAAGUCGUAUUUCUUUGGGAAAAUGGAUACAGCAAAGGAGCUAUUACAUCAAAUUUACCAACAUAUGCAUAAACCAAAGAGCAGCGGGGCAUCAUCAGACGCGGACUUUUACUUCGUAGCCUGGGCAAUGAUGUUACUGAUGGAGCCAGCUUCCUCUUUAGCAGCCUCUACCAACGAAUCCUGUGAAAGUAGAGAAGCGAAUUGUUAAGACAAAAAAAAAAUCAGGACUUCUUGAGCACAGUCCAACACAGAUUUUGCAAUUUUCUAUUGUACACGUGUUUCUAUAUCUGUACAACUGUAAAGAAAUAUAAGAGUGUUUAGAUCACUAAAGUAGUAGUGAUCUAAAGUCUAAACGCUCUUAUAUUAGUUUACGGAGGGCGUAUACUGGAAGCACAAACUCAUUCAAGAGGUAACAGAAUAGAUUUUAGAAGAAGAUGCUAAUCCUAAUAUUUAAGCAAAGAAAUGAACUCUACUGAACCAUAGGGAAAAAAGUGAGGUACAGUCAAGACAUGAAUCAAGAGAAAGAUUUAAUACUACCCAAAGUCAUACACUCUUAACUAGUCAUGGGAAUGUACAAUUUAUGUUAGCCGGUGGUGAGGAUACCUGUGCAGCAAUAAGUCUUGCAACAUUCUUCUUGCUAGAUUCCUGAAGCUCACCAGAAAUGAGAAUCUCAUCCAGUACGUAGUACGCCUGCAAAUUUCACCAUUGGUACUCAUGAAAAUGAGUACAUGACUCAUAAAAAUGGCAUAACUCGGGCAAGAAAAGAAUUAAUAUAACUCUAGUCCUGGAUCUUCAGCGUCAACAUUUCAACACAUGUGAAAGAGAUUACCUUGUGGAAAUUGAAUAUCAAAUCCAGCUCGCAUACCUAAAGAAAUUAUGAAAAAGACAGUCAAAACAAUAGUACAUUCAAGAAAUAAUGCUAAUCCAUAAAAAUCAUCACAGGGAACACUUACACUGCCGAAAUAACGGUCCAGUAUCUCAACAAAAUGAUGGAUAAUUUCAAGGACUUCGAGCUCAUUAUCAUCAGCAUCGAUACACAUGCAGAAAUAGAGGCUGGCAUACCUGUACACAAUUAUAAGCAGAUAUAUAUAAAUAGCUAACAAGCAUAUCUUGCAAACAGAAUAGACUCAAUGGCGUUCUUUAUUACUAAAACAUACCUUCUGUACACAACCUUGUAACCUCUCCACUCGACAAAGUUGCAGAGUUUUGGCCCUCGAGUAAGAAUGAGCCCACUAAGCUCACGGAUGACCUUUCCAAAUGAGAAGAAUGCGGAAAAAUUAGCUAACCAGUACAAUCCUCUUAGCCAACAGAAAUCAUGUAGUAGGCAGUAGCGAUUUAAGAGGAUUAAAUGUAAAACCGUUGUCGGUGUAUGAGCACCUACAAUAUAGCCAUCUUUCAUAGAAAACAAAUACAUUGAAUGGGCACCCAAGAGGGCAGGAAAAUACCAAAAGCAUGCAUUAAAGCGUUAAAGAGCUAGAAUCACAAAUCAUCAACACUGGGAAGCAACAGAAAUGCUAGCAUAAAACGGAGGCUGAACAGAUCAUAAGGACAGUACAAUAGCUGAAAUUUAUCCUUAGAAGAAGCAUCUGUCACCAUCUACUCAUAAUCAUAAGUAUACACUAGCACAAACACACAUAGCAGCAAACUCUGCUUUGACAUAGUUUGCAUCAACUUGCAAGUUGUUUAAUUAGCACAUAGACAAACGGACAUAAAAGCUCAGUAUAAGAUGUUGACCUUAGUCCUCUCCUUCUGGGUGUAAGGCGAGUACCACUUGGUGAGCCUCACCUUGCCCUGGCGGCUGAUUAGGAGCACGAAAUUAAUCUGUGAACAUGCAGAGAAGAAAAGGAAAGUUAAGCGACAGUGAACCCCAAACAAGAUCCAGUGCUAGUGGCAACAAGCAACCGCCUGUGUUGCACAGACACAGACAGAUAUUUGACUUUUCAAACAAUGUUGACAGAAAAACACUGCUAUAUGUAUUUAAAUAUAAUGAAUAUAAUUCAUUAAAUCUUAAAAGUGCACUUCAGCUUGACAAAUUAUCGACUACACUUAUUCUGCAUCUCUUCUUUCAGAAAAACGACACUUCUAUUGAUUUCCAGCGGAACACGUGGGCAUGGCCCACUCGCCAAAUAUACAAUCUUUAACAGGACAGGUACAACUACAUAACAGGGCCAUUCAUGGUUGUAUCACUAAAGAGUUUGUCCUAUCAGUCAAUUCUGCUGAAAUCCAAAAAUGUGUAGUGUUCUGAAACUAUGAUACAGGAAGUAGUUAAUCAAGAAGUUUAUUUUCUACUGUACAUGUCUGUUCUACGCUCGAAUAAUAUAAGCUGGAGACAUGGAAAUGUGCCUUAAACAUGAUCACCAGCAGCCAUCAAUGUGGUACUGAAAAUGCAGCAUUUAAAAGGAGAUCCCGUCUAAACUCUACAAACUACUAUCUUCUCGAAACUACAACAGAACAAUGUGGCGCUCAAAAGGGGGUUUGGCCUUUCACAGAAUCGGUGGGCAAUGGCUGCCCAAUUCAUAUACCGUACAGAAACAGAAAAGACCGUGAUGAAUGGCUGUAAUUCCUCCUUGAAAUGGGAUCAUAACACUCUCGGAUCCAUAACACCGUUGAGCAAAUCCACUGGCUCGAGAAAUUCCGCUAAAUUGGCUGUGCCUGGCUUGCAAAUUCCAAAUCGAUAGCAAACUGGUGGGUAUUCUCUCCUAUUCUCCGAGAUCCGGAUCCGAACGAUAAAUGAGAUCUCACGACCUCUAGCGUAACCCGGGGGAUCUACAGGGAAGGGGAGGACGAGGAACUCACCAUGGCUAGGGACGGUCGAGGCCCGCGAGGAGGAGCGAGGCGGGUGGGCGUGGCCGCGCGGAUCUGGCGGCGAGGGCGGCCGGGGUUGCAGCCGGUCGUCGGAGGAGGUAGGAUCGCCGAGAGACGGGAGCGCGAGCGGCGUCGGUCGGCGUCUGGGCUGGGCUGGGCGGUCUGGGUCGCGUCGGGUGCGCGAUCUGCUACGGUGCUNNNNNNNNNNNNNNNNNNNNNNNNNNNNNNNNGGGUAUUCUCUCCUAUUCUCCGAGAUCCGGAUCCGAACGAUAAAUGAGAUCUCACGACCUCUAGCGUAACCCGGGGGAUCUACAGGGAAGGGGAGGACGAGGAACUCACCAUGGCUAGGGACGGUCGCGGCCCGCGUAGAUCUGCCGAGGCCCGAGAGGAGGAGCGAGGCGGGUGGGCGUGGCCGCGCGGAUCUGGCGGCGAGGGCGGCCGGGGUUGCAGCCGGUCGUCGGAGGAGGUAGGAUCGCCGAGAGACGGGAGCGCGAGCGGCGUCGGUCGGCGUCUGGGCUGGGCUGGGCGGUCUGGGUCGCGUCGGGUGCGCGAUCUGCUACGGUGCUACCAGUGUUGAGCCAAACCGGUCUAUUUGCUGGUUUUCCGUUGUUCUGGGGUCCUUCCUGCAUAUUGCAGGCAACUUUGUGUGUCUUCUUUUUUUUUCGAUAAACAGGUGAUCACCCCCGGCUCCAUUUCAUAUCUAACUUAUAAAGGAUGAAAGGGGUGGUAGUCACAACCAUCGCUCGAGCGCACCGUAACACGCGAGGGGUAAAAACGCACCGCACCGCGCUCCUUGUGGUAAGAAAAACGCGAGGGCGCACCGCACCACACGAGCGAAAUAGUUCGAGCGAGCGAGCCGGCCUGCAUCUCCCCCCUCCGCCCGAGCCAUCGUCUCCCCCGCCACACGCACACCCAAUCCCCUCCCCUCCAACCCUAGCCGCCCCGCUCCCCUCCCUCUCCACGGCGCCGCCGCCUCCUCCCCUUCUGCCCUGCUCUCCACCGUGCCGCCUCUUCCUCCUCUUCACUGCCCUCUCUAGCGGCGGCAAAGAUCUGCCGACAAAAGGGAGACGACGGCGACGCUCGAUCCGAUCUGCUGAAGAGAAAAGAUGAGAGGGAGAGAGACAAGGAAGGAGAGGAGGGAGAAAGAUAGAGGAAAGAGGAGAGCGAGGUGUGAUGGCAGAUGAGAGAGGGUCACCGGAAGGAGCGUGACGACCUGCAGACAAAGGGCGGCGGCGGCGCCGCUCGAUUUGAUCUGCGGGAGAGAGAAUAUGAGAGGGAAAGAGAGAAGGAAGAACAUGAGAGGAGGGAGAAAGAGAGAGGAAAGAGGAGAGGGCGUUGACGGCCGACAGGAGAGGAUCACCGGAAGGAGUGCCGCCGGCUCGUCGUCUUUCACACCGGGUGAAGGAGCAGGGGAGGCGGGCAACAAGGAUGGGAAGCAUCGGGCCGUCAUGGUGCGGUGGAGAUGCUGGGAAGAAGGAGGAGGGCGUCUGCAUCAUCCCCAGGGGUGCUCGUGGAGCUGCUCCUCAAUGAGAUCCACCAUGGAGCAAGCCGUCGUGGCAGCACAUCCCCGCCCCCUCUGAGGCAAUAGAUCAAGCACACCAUCAAACUGAGGUGAGCCACCACUAGCCCCAGCUCUUCUCCUCCCGGGUCCCUUUCUCACCGAGCUCACGCUGCUGCCCGGUUGAAGCACAAGCAGACGGUGUAAACGGCCGCCCAAUCUCACUGUAUUUGUCCCUCAAGCAAGUGCACACACUCUUGCCCUCUCCUGAAUUUUUUCCCUCCUUCCAAUGCCUUGCUCCUAGAACUUCUCAUAUUUGCUUGUACAUAUUUUGUUUCUGUACGCUUGCAAGGUGCUUGAUGAAAAACCCAUAAGGCUGGUAGGGGAGUAGUAGUCUAUGUAAGCCACGUGAGUUCAUUUUUCAAAAAAUUAGUUUCAGUCAAUCAUAACAAGAUGAUUUUGAGAUUAAUGAGAAUCCAUGAGGUGAAUAAAAGUAUAAAGAAACAAAAAAAUAUUUGGUCAAAACAUUAGUUCCAGUCAACUAUAACAAGAAUCCAUGAGUUAGAUCUUUGCUUCUAUGUAUGAGGUCGUCGACCCUUCAGAAUUCUCCAUGAUGAUUUUACCAAUAAAUUUGCAUUUGGUAACUUGAUUUCCUUCCCUGAUGUAUAAGCAUGUAGGAGACAUGAAAUUGUGUAUAUUUUGCCAUCGUGAGGUUAUUCUUAGGUUUUCUUAUGUUCUGUUUUAUCCUUCUCGGACGCGGAUAGGAAAAGAAAACUGAAACAUGUUCACUAAAAUGCCUGCUUUCCAGGCCUUUGUUUUCAUGUAGCGAUGUAUUUUAGUGUACACUUACCUGACUACAUGUGCUACUGCAUCUUUUGUUUAUCGCUAGAACUGUUGUCCGUACCAAAUGUGCAAAUUGUACCAACUUCAUACAAUGAGCUAUGCCUGAUAGUUAUUGUAGUCAUUUCCCCUCCUAAAAGUAUCGUUUUCCUAUUUGUAGGAGCUUCAGUAAGGUUGCUCACCAAUGAGCCGGAAGUGUUUUUGUCCUGGGUACUUGCAUGAUUGAAGAUGAAAUUGGGUAUUCCAAAAUGUGCUAUUGCAGAUCAAAGGUGAACUCAUCCCAUUUUCUUACUUCAAUCUCGGGUGAAUAUUUUCCUGUCCACUAACAUUCUCUUUUAUGUAAUUAUUUCAUUGAUCCAUGACGUCGGCCAUCCUUUGUUUGAAUGUUUAGCUUGCUUUUCGUACUAACUAUGAAUUCCUGCAUUUGUAUAUUUGGCUCACGAUAAUAUAAACGAUGGUUCUUUUCAUUGUGGAAGUUAUAUUUCUAUUCAGAUAGGUCAUAUCGGUGCUUGAUAAUGUACGAACUGUGUUGAUCUAUCUAACCUACUGCCUCUCUGCAGUAAUUAGAAAUCAGAAAAUCAAAAUGCAUAGACAGAAUUUGUCACACAUUUUGUUGGGUAUCAACACAAAAACUAUAGUCCUUUAGGGCAGCUUCCUACAGGUUAUCAAAACAAAUCUAUAGUUUUGUGCUGCCUAGGCUUUUACUGUUGGAAGGAGGAUACUCCAUGCGGUUCUUUGCCCCCAUCUGUGCUUUGUUGAUCUAUAUACAUUGGGUAAAGGUUCUUUGUUUUUUUAUUGAUGGUUGAUUGAAACUCAACUGUGUACUAAUUUAUAACUCGCAAUAAAAGGGAGAAGAAUCAACUCGAGCAUGUUCGGUAUAUGUAACUUGCAGAAAUUUAAUGUCAUCUUCUUCUUUGUAGGCCCCUAAGAGCAACUUCAAGAAGGGCCAAAAACAAGUCAAGAGUUCAGCCAAUAUUAUUUGCUUCAAGUGCAAAAUUGAAGGGCAUCAUGUUAGAUCUUGCCCAUUGAAGAAGAAGGCCUUUAGUGACAAGCAACAAGGGAAGCGGCUACAAGUGCAUUCUCAUGCUCAACCUCAAGUUAAAGAAAGGCCUCUUCCCAAGAAGACUCAAGCUAAUGCUUCUCAAGUUGAGAAAUCAAGUGACAAGAAAGUAAAGAGUAGAAGUUGCUACCUAUGUCGUGAGAAAGGUCACCUCGCUUCUUCAUGCACUAUUGGUAACUUAUCCAACCCAAUUAUUAUUUAUGAUGUCUAUUCUCUUGGGAAGGAUAAGGUUGGCAAUGUGGUUGCCAAGUUUGUUGGUACUCAAAGUGGUUUGAAGCAAAGAACCAUUUGGGUAGCCAAGCCUAUUGUGACUAACCUCUUAGGACCCAACUUGGUUGGGGACCAACUAGCUCAAACUUGAUCAAUAGGUGUUGUUGGAGGGCAUUGGAGACUUGGCUACAUUAUGAAGAAUUAAGGGGACUUCAUCAUUCUUUUUGUCACAAGCCAAGUCAAUUGGAUUAUCAAGUUUCUAUCUUAUAUCCAAAGUGCCUCCUUGCGGUAACUUGUACUUAAAUUGUUUACUUUGAAAGUUACCUGCCCCCUUGCAUGUUUUGGUUUUGUUCCUUGCAUGUGUCUGUAUAUGUUGUGAUUCCAACUUGCUUAUCUUGAGCAAUCAAGUAUGUGUGUGUUGGUUUGCACACCAUGUGCGUGUGUGUCGUGCGUUGAGCCUUUAUGCUUCUUGACGGUGUCCUGGACUAGGGGGUACUCAACGCGUCGUCUCCCGAUCAGUUGGAUUGGGCCGAGGACCCCCAUGGCCGUAUACUCAUGGGCCAGUCCGGACAGCUGCCGCAUACAAGGAAGAAUCAACAAGACUUGGCGAUCAAGACAAGGACUCCUCCCCCACCGCGUAUUCGGCUAGGACUCUUGUUAUCAUAGGCCUCUGUUGCAUUAUAUAAACCGGGGCCAGACUAGUCGAUAGACAUAUACAACAACAAUUAUACCAUAGUCUAGCUUCUAGGGUUUAGCCUCCUUGAUCUUGUGGUAGAUCUACUCUUGUACUACCCAUAUCAUCAAUAUUAAUCAAGCAGGACGUAGGGUUUUACCUCCAUCGAGAGGGCCCGAACCUGGAUAAACAUUGUGUCCCUUGCCUCCUGUUACCAUUGAUCCUAAGACGCACUGCUUGGGACCCCCUACCCGAGAUCCGCCGGUUUUGACACCGACAUUGGUGCUUUCAUUGAGAGUUCCGUUGUGUGAUCAGCGAAAGGAUCAAUGGCUCGACUGCAGGUCAACUGCGACGUCUCCUUCUUCGUCACCAGCUCGACUGGUCACCUUGGCUUGACCGAGGACUGUGCCCUACCUCCGAUCGUCAUGUUCGGAUGAAGGCCUUCAUCAACACCAACUUCGAUCUCUAUCAAGAUCAUGGAGGAGUCAUCCAUGGAGCUCGGGGGCUCAAUGUCAACAUUGCCCUCAGGCGACCGUGCUGUUUUUCUGGACAACAAACUUGUAUCCGCUGCCACCGCCUCCUCGAGUGUCGCCUAAACGAUUACUUCGGUGGAAUUAUGCGGAAUUAAGUCUACAACAACCCUGCAAAAAUUUCGUCGAGUUCCGAUGGAGGAAUCUCCGGCAAUCUCCGAUAUAUCGGAGCCCUGUUGAAUCUGGACGAGAAUCCGGACGAGUUUAGAGCAUGGUAUCCAGCAUCUAGCUCGGAUGUCCUUUGGAAGAUCCAACCGUUGAUUUGCUGAGAAAUUACCAUAUCUACCACGUGCCAAAAAUUCAGCUCGAUCCGACCGUCCAAACUCCAGAAAACUUCCGAUUAGUGCAUCACUUUUUGGAUCUACUUUCUGCGCAAGAACGAAUCCGACCCGAAUUCAUCUUUUUUAUGAACGGGAUCUCGGACAUCCUUUUUGAAGGAAGUUUUCGUAUGGGGUGUUGUGUUUUAUUCUCAAACACAUCCCAGUAGUAUUAAAAGUAUUCUUGCAAUACGAACUUCACCGUCACGCCGGUGUCAAACCAGCCCGACAAUAUCACUCCACGGCGACCGACCUGCGUUAGACACGUCGUCGCUUUGUUGAGCCGAGCUCAAUUUCUUCGGAUCAUCAUCUCGGCCAGCCGAACAAUAGUUCGGCAUCGCGAAGGAUAAAUCGUCACCAACAUCGCUGGCCCACGGAUUACACGGAGCGGGCGCACCUACAUCACCACACGGUCACUUCAUCAAGCCGGCAUCGACCACGUCACGACCUGCAUCGCUAGACCGGGGGCUUCAUCAUCUCUUCAUCAACCUACUCCGGAGACUUCGGUGUCGCUGGCCGACCAGCUCCGUCACGUUAGCUGGACUGAGGGCUUUGCCUCAGCGAGCCAACCUUUGCCAGCAUCGCCAUGCCGUUGCUUUAUCGCCCAUCAGGCGAUAGGUGUGCGGAUCGAGUCCCAAUUUUGGGAAUCACCUUUCCUCGGAUUGCUGCAACAAAUAAGCCAGGUGCUAUUAAUCCUAAUAUGUUUUGCUUGUUAGGGUUCAUUUUUCCCAAUGAAUUAUUACUCUGGUUUGUCCGUCAUAUGUACGCAGGUCUAUCAAAUGGUGGCCGCAUUAACGACGGUCGCAUGUUGGUUCGGUCAGUUUCCCUACAUAGUCCGGCGAACGCCGCAUCCGGAGCUCGAGCCGACCUGUGAAUUCAGGCCUUGCCAUGCCUUUACCGCAUCACGUCGCCGCCCUGCAUCGACAUUGACUUCGGCUCCAGGCCAUAUUUCUUUUACUACUCACUUUGCAUAAAUUAUUUGUUAUGCAACGAAUUUUUUAUUUUUAUUUUUUAUUACUACUAUUAUCUCCGGUUUACACUAUUUUUUGUGCACAGGAAAAUGAUCCAGCCGGACUAUAUCCUUUGGCGUCACCUCGGCUGGACGGGGGGCUUCGUCAAUACUUCAUUACCCCAUGCCGGGGACUUCCACAUCACCCUGCCGUCUUGCAUUGACCGUGCUAUGUCACCACUUCGGAGUGCCGAGCUCUUUGCUCCGCCACCUCGGGACCGGCUCUAGGAUGGAACCUUGUCCCGCAUCAAGCUCGGACCGCGUCAUCAAUACCGAACACAUUAACUAGCUAAGUUGUCUUCAUGCUCAAAGUUUUAAAUUUUUAACUUGUGUUCGGCUCAGCCAAGCAUUAUACUUUUUUGGAAAAAAGUUGCUUGUAAAAAUUUCCUUGUCCAAACUUUGUUUGUGACGCGCAAAUUCAAAUACCCCGUUUACUUGGGGGCUUCCUUCAUGAAGCUUUUUCCUCUUGCAUAUGGUUAUACUUGUACAGUUUCAUUCCUUGUUCGUGUAUUACGCCACAAUAUGCACCAUAUUGACUUAAGCGAUUUGCAAGCUGAGUUGCCUGGCUCCUGUGCUUACCCCUACAUUCCCGAUUGUUCGGCUAGGGAGUAAAGGGAGCACCUCUGCGAUUGUCACGAUCAGGUCACCCGAGCCGGACCUCAGACUGGGUGAAGCCGAAAGCUAGCGCUCUUAUUGUUUUCAAUCAUGGUCGGCACACAACGGAACUCAUGAGUACAAAAAAUCUAUUGCACAAGUCUCAUAAUAACAAUGAGCACCGAAGAAAGGUAUCGGUGGGGGUACUAUUUUCUUCGAAGAUGCUUCUUACACUUCGCAGUAAUAUAGCAUAAGUUCCCUGAGCGCGCUUUAUCUGUUACAGCCUUAUGGCCUGAUUGCCUGGUUAUUGGAAACACCGUCGAUAUUCUCGACAGAUGGAGUACAUAACACUUUUCGGUCCUUGACCGAAGAGGGAGAAGCCGAUGGUCGGUUAAGACGCGUUUAAAGUUCGGUUGAACAUAGAUAUGAUAUAAGUACUUCGGUACAUGCAAUCAUUUUUUUACCCAAGUCACUUGGGGGCUCUUAAAUUUAUAUGAGCCAUUUUAUGAUAAGUGUUUUUCUUCUUAGUCGUUGGAAAGUUUUUAUUAUUAUUUAUCGCUCCUUUUUUCGACACAAGUGUGCGGUCACUAGACGGGGAGCCUAAUUUCUCUCUCAAAGUCGCUAGAGUUUAGUUUGCUAAACUGGCCUAGUAAGAAGUACUCCGCCUUCGGGAUAGGAGGUUGAAGCCGUAGGCUGACCCGCUUGAAGUUUUGAGAUAGGAUGUGUCAUGUUAAAGCACGGCAGAAGCACCUUUUUUUCUUCUAAAGUCCAAUUUUCUGAUUGGCACCGAACACUUGAUCUAGUUCGGACAUUAACCUUUUGAAUAAGUUUUUUUGGAUUUUCGAGCCCAUGGCACUUAUAAACUAUUUGUGUGUUUUCAGCAUAAGUCUCGCAGUGCAACGCCGGACACCUUUAGAGAUCCGGCAAAAAAAUUCUCGGAUAUUGCUAUAUAUGCAUCGGUUUCGAAUUGUGUCUUCGGUCAAUAGUUGGGUUGCCCGGCUCCUGCGCUUGCCUCCUAUAUAUGCAAAGGGAGAACCACUGCGAUUGUGCUUCCAGCUCACAUGGUUAAGCACCUCAGUGGAGAAAGCCGAAAACUGACUGUCACAAUAAGCGUAAACUGGUCGGCGAUCCGAUGACGGCGUUAAACGACGGGCCAUUCAUAACAAUGGCCGAAGUGUUUACGGCUUGACCUUGACUAUCGCCGAACACUACCGGGGGCUAUUAACCGGCCUCCCAAACUAAAUCCUCGAUAUUUUGCUCUUACAUUGGGGCUGAGGUUUCAUGAUCGUGCUUAGCAUGACAACCCAAAGAAAGGAACCGAUAGCGGGACUAUUUUCUUUGGUAGACAUUUCUUCUGUUAAAUAGUAAUAUAACAUGUCUCUCCACGUACCUUUGUUUAUAAAAUAAUAUGGCCAGAUUGCCUUGUUUGUUGUAAAUCUUUGCCCUCAUAAUGGCUUUAUAAAGUAGGACAAACACUCCUCAGCUAUUGGUCGAGGAGGUUGAAGCCGAUGGUCGGUCAACAAAGUUUUGUACAAUGCGGAUCCGAGCAUUAAUGACGUAAAGUACUUGGAUACAUAGAGUCAUUACACAUAAUUUGUGAUUUUACUAUGGAUAUCGAUCCUUAAUUCGGCCUCCCGUGCCCGCAUUAAGGCUCCGGGGCUACUGGGCUUCGGGCUUAUUAUUUACAAAUAUUAAAGGGGCACAUCGAUCCUUUGAUCUGGUGUUGCCACCCGACCAGUGUCUCGGGGGCUACUGCAUUGCCUGUUCUAUGCAGAAAAUUUUAAGUGCAAUACAGUUUCCGAGGAGAUUUUGAUCCUCAGGUUGGUCGGCCGCACCCAACUUGAGUCUCGAGGACUGAGCACGCCGCUUUUUGUGUCCCGAAGUAUUCUGCCGAGCUAGGACUUGAUCCUCAGACCGAUUUUGCAAAUCAACAUGAGUCUCAGCGGCUACGAGGAUCAGCGGUCUUAUGUCAUCCUUCAUGUGCAUCUCGGGUUUUAGACCGAUACCCACCUUGAGGGCUACUGGCACCAAUCAAAAAUAUUGACAAAAAUCGGCCCACAUUCGGGGUGGUGCACCACCUCAGAAGCAGUCCGGCGUAAAGCUCGGGUGCUAGUGGCUGGCUCCAUAGAGGGCACUUCCGGCAUUAAGCUCGGCUAAACUCCUUCAAACUUCUUUGAACCAAGGUGAUUUACGACACCUCGGAUACAGUCCGGCGUUGGAGCUCGGAUACAUAGUCCGGCAUUGGAGCUCGGAUACCGUCCGGCAUUGGUGCUCGGCUGCAAAAGAUACCUCGAAUGCAGUCCGGCAUUGAAGCUCGGACGCAAGAGGACGUUGCCGCCCAGGAACAACCUCAAACCCGAGGCAUGGCAUAAAAAUAACAAUGCAUUGAUAAAGGCCGUAAACUUAAAGGGCUCCUUGUAUACCCAACAUGUAAACUCGUCGAAUGCAUUUCGGCGAUCCUCAAGAUAGAAGAUGAGAAGAUUUGUUGAACCAGUUUUCAAGACCGGCAACCGAAGAUGAAGAACAGUUCGGAAGAAUCGAGGAGCGUCCCUAACUUGAAGACCGGUUCAGGGGGAUACUGACGGUGUCCUAGACUAGGGGGUACUCAAUGCGUCGUCUCCCGAUCAGUUGGAUUGGGCCGAGGACCCCCAUGACCGUAUACUCAUGGGCCAGGCCGGACAGCUGCCGCAUACAAGGAAGAAUCAACAAGACUUGGCGAUCAAGAAAAGGACUCCUCCCCCACCGGCGUAUUCGGCUAGGACUCUUGUUAUCCUAGGCCUCUGGUGUAUUAUAUAAACCGGGGCCAGGCUAGUCGAUAGACAUAUACAAUAACAAUCAUACUAUAGGCUAGCUUCUAGGGUUUAGCCUCCUUGAUCUCGUGGUAGAUCUACUCUUGUACUACCCAUAUCAUCAAUAUUAAUCAAGCAGGACAUAGGGUUUUACCUCCAUCGAGAGGGCCCGAACCUGGGUAAACAUUGUGUCCCUUGCCUCCUGUUACCAUUGAUCCUAAGACGCACUGCUUGGGACCCCCUACCCGAGAUCCGCCGGUUUUGACACCGACACUUCUUGUUUGUAUCCUAGUUGGCUCGUGUGAGAGAUUAAUGGAACAUCCCAUUUUGGGGGAGUGAUGUGCUUUGUGCACCUCACAAUCCUAUAAAUGUGUGUACAUGAGGAAUACCAUCUAGUAUUGAUAUUACAAGAUUAUCUAGUCGCUAGGUGGUAUAUCUCUCAUGAGAAAUUCAAAUUCUAAAUAGUCCAUUAAUUAUCUCUUGUUUGUUCCUCUUAUUGCCUCUUGUUAAGUUCUUAUUGGUAUCACAUUAUGGGGGAGUAAUAUGCUAAGUGCAUAUUACAAGCCUAGAAAAUGUGUACAUUUGAGAUAUUGUCACCUAGAAUUGAUAUUGUAGAUUAUCUUGUUCCUAGGUGGCGUGUUAGCUCUACAAGUUGCAAUUUGCUUGUGUUUGUUGUGAAGAUGAUGUUGGAUGUCCUUGUUAUCUACCACCGGGAAUUAUUUCCAAAUACUUCUUGUCUUUUGACAAUUGGUAGUCACUUAUGUGUGGUAGAAUUUGUUGAUCAUCUUUACUUUGGCUUUUGUUUUUCCUUUUCUCUUGCCAAGGUUUGUGUCAACUCCCGAUGUCUUCCCUACCACUUGUGGAUCUUGUUUAUUUCUUGUUCUUGUCUAGUGUUUUCUAGAUAUAGUGAAAGUAGUGAUCCCACCUUAUGCAUUUUGUAUUCAAAUGCAAAUCAUAUAUAAUGCACAACUCGUGGGGGAGCUAUCCUAUUUUCUUUAGAACACUCUUCUUGUGAUCCUUAUCAAGUGUGUUUUGGUGGAAGGCAAGCCAUUUCUUUUUGGUACUUUGUGCCAUCAUGAAACUUUGUUGAGAGCUUGGUUUGUUUGGAACCAUCCUCUCUUUGGGAGUUUGACAUCUUUAGUUUAGUGUGUAUCAAUGGAUAUCUUAUUCCUUGAUGUAUCUUUAAUGAUAUCUUCCAAGUGAUGAUUUCUCCAUCUGGUAUCCUUUUCACUUGGCAUUUCUUUCUCUUUAGGUUUUGGGUUUUGAAAGUCUUGAGCAUGCAUGUUUACUUCAUGUAUUUUAUUUGGCAUGCUUUCUUUCUUUGACUCAAUAUAUAGGGGGAUCUCCACCAAGUCUCAAAUCGGAUGAGAUGUGUAUGAAAUUCAUUUUCAUAUCUAUAUGCACAUAUUUAUGUGGAGUUUGUCCUAUGUAUUGGUUUUUCUAACUAUUUGGUCCCAAUGAGUUUGGGUACCGUUUAGUUUGUGUUGUUCUUCUAGGAACAUUUGGAGAUGCAUUGGAUGCUCGGCUCACUCACAAGGAAGGUGUUGUCACCAUGUGCAUAUUGGAGUCUAGCUAGGAUGAUCAAUGAACUACUAUCUACCUUCAAUUGGUAUCUACUACAUCCUUCCAAUGAUAUCUCGGUAGCAAGUAUCUAUUCAUGCUUUCUCCUCUUGCAUUCAACCUUGUGUAGGUUGCAUCUUGGCAUGAUAUUCAUUUUAUAUCUUGUGAUACUUGUUUCCUUUCUCAAAGCAUCCCAACGAUGAUCUCUUGUUGCUAGUUGUGAUGCCUUUGAUGGAUGUGUGUUUGGACUUCAUUUAUAUACAAUAAGACCAUAUCUAGCCAAGUGCUAUGCUUUCAAGCAAAUAUCUUAUUGGUAUAUUUAUGACUUCCUUGUGGAUAUCUUGUUCCUUCGUGUUGUAACUAUUUCGGGUGUACAUAUCCUUCUUUGUAGAUAUAUAUAUCAUCAUGAUUUCGUCUACAUAGAACCUUAUACACUUGAGAGAAAUUACAUCUCUAGUUGAUAUCUUUUCUUUCACGUCCACCUUGUCUUUCUUAUGUUAUUUCUUUGGUGGCCCCGUGAAAGCUUUUGCCUUGAGUGCGUGUCCUCUAUCGUUGCAUCUUUUGCACUCUUGUGUGGUGAAGAUUAUUUUCCUCUUGCUUAUCUUUACGAGGUUUUUGCCAUCUUAAUUGGUAUCCUUCGUCUUGAUGAGCCUCCCCUCGUCUAUCUUCACCACGGGUUGUCACAAGCAUAGGUUCUCUUUUGCUUAUUAGUAAGCUUGUGAACCCAUUUGCCAGUUGUGUGUGGGAAUGAUAGGCCUUGCACCGUGUGCCUCAUUCUUUCAAGACUAUGUUGAUGCUUAAUGCUCAUCCUAAUCUUAGUCUUCUCAAGUGCUUCGCCAUGACUCACACACAUCAUUUUGGUUGAGCCUAUUCUUAAGUUGCCUCUUUUACAUGUUGCUCAACCAUGUGCUUGUUGCAAGCGCUGGGCUUUGUUUCCUAUAUGCUCACUUGCACUGGAUGUGAGUUUCUAUUGAUCUUGGGGGAGCUAUGAUCCUAUUUUGUGCACUUUGUAUUCAAAUACAAAAAAUUCUUAUGUGUGCACAGAUCAUGGGGAGCUUCUCUAGUUUCUUUAGAACACUCCUUUGCGCUUUUCAUAAUAUCUUUAUUCUUGUGGCAUGUAGGAUCAUUGGUCUAGUUGGUUCAAUUGAUAUCCGUUGAUUGCUUGCUUCAAUUGGUAUCUUCUGAUUGCUUGUGUCUCUCUUUGUUAUGCCUUUGUGGCAUAUCUUUCUGUUGCAAUCUUUGGGCAUCAAUAUAGUUUGUCUUCCUCCAAGUAUUGGCAGUUGGGUAUGUGUAUUGCAUUCCACUCUCUUGUUGAGAAAUACACAAUUUAUGGAGGACCACAAUUUAUAUUGGCCUUCUUAGAUUUUCGCCCAUUUUGGCAAUCGAUGCCAAUGGGGGAGAAGUUUCAGAGAGUUUUGUGGAGAAGUUUAGAGACUUAUCUCUUCUUUCUUUCUUUUUGUUCCUUAGCAUUUGCAUCUCAUUCGCAUGCACUAUUAGUUGUUGCAUUGCAUGGUGAUGCAUAAUUCCUUAUAUAAACUCUCUUGAAAGUGAUUGUCAUCAAUUACCAAAAUGGGGGAGAUUGAAAGAACAUGCGGUGCCCCCAUGUUUGGUUUUGGUAAUUGAUGACAAUCUCUAUGGACUAAUGGUUGUCUUGAGUUAUAUUUGAAGGAUUUGUCCAUAGGCUUUUCUUGAAGUCCAUGUGUUGGUUUCAAGGAGUUUUUGAGUUAACCAAGGUGCUAUUAAGGAAUUAUCCAAAGUUGGUCAUGCGAGUGUUGAGCUUAUUGCAAGCAUGUCUUGAAGAAGAAGGUUGUGUGAUCAUUCAUGUUUACCUUCAAGACAUCAUCCAAAUGAAGAGAGUUGCAAAG